GGGUAUAGCUUAGCGGUAGAGUGCAUGCUAAGCCAACAUGAGGUUCUGGGUUCAAUCCCCAGUACUUCCA
Molecule: transfer RNA, 70 nt
Filed under: Camelus bactrianus (Bactrian camel)
Lineage: Eukaryota; Metazoa; Chordata; Mammalia; Artiodactyla; Camelidae
Also listed under: 1 other name
Rfam family: tRNA
About the family: Transfer RNA (tRNA) molecules are approximately 80 nucleotides in length. Their secondary structure includes four short double-helical elements and three loops (D, anti-codon, and T loops). Further hydrogen bonds mediate the characteristic L-shaped molecular structure. tRNAs have two regions of fundamental functional importance: the anti-codon, which is responsible for specific mRNA codon recognition, and the 3' end, to which the tRNAs corresponding amino acid is attached (by aminoacyl-tRNA synthetases). tRNAs cope with the degeneracy of the genetic code in two manners: having more than one tRNA (with a specific anti-codon) for a particular amino acid; and 'wobble' base-pairing, i.e. permitting non-standard base-pairing at the 3rd anti-codon position.
Source: Rfam by way of RNAcentral